ACUACGGGAGGCAGCAGUGAGGAAUAUUGGUCAAUGGGCGAGAGCCUGAACCAGCCAAGUCGCGUGAAGGAUGACGGACCUACGGGUUGUAAACUUCGUUUGCCAGGGAGCAAUAGGGUCCACGCGUGGGCUUAGCGAGAGUACCUGAAGAAAAAGCAUCGGCUAACUCAGUGCCAGCAGCCGCGGUAAUACGGAGGAUGCGAGCGUUAUCCGGAUUUAUUGGGGUAAAAGGGUGCGUAGGCGGAAUAUCAAGUCAGCGGUAAAAAUUCGGGGCUCAACCCCGUCGUGCCGUUGAAACUGAUGUUCUUGAGUGGACGAGAAGUAUGCGGAAUGCGUGGUGUAGCGGUGAAAUGCAUAGAUAUCACGCAGAACUCCGGUUGCGAAGGCAGCAUACCGGCGCCCAACUGACGCUGAAGCACGAAAGCGUGGGUAGCGAACAGGAUUAGAUACCCCAGUAGUC
This 460-nucleotide ribosomal RNA is filed under the name uncultured bacterium. RNAcentral's name for it is "partial 16S ribosomal RNA". It matches the Rfam family "Bacterial small subunit ribosomal RNA", at positions 338 to 795 of the family's 1533-position model. The record is from RNAcentral.